RNAcentral lists this ribosomal RNA (277 nucleotides) under uncultured Solobacterium sp. RNAcentral's name for it is "partial 16S ribosomal RNA". It matches the Rfam family "Bacterial small subunit ribosomal RNA", at positions 511 to 788 of the family's 1533-position model. Lineage: Bacteria; Bacillati; Bacillota; Erysipelotrichia; Erysipelotrichales; Erysipelotrichaceae. The record is from RNAcentral.
GCAGCCGCGGUAAUACGUAGGUGGCGAGCGUUAUCCGGAAUUAUUGGGCGUAAAGGGUGCGUAGGCGGCACAAUAAGUUUAAGGUGAAAGCGUGGGGCUCAACCCCAUAAAGCCUUAGAUACUGUUGAGCUAGAGUACUGGAGAGGGAAGUGGAAUUCCAUGUGUAGCGGUAAAAUGCGUAGAUAUAUGGAGGAACACCAGAGGCGAAGGCGGCUUCCUAGCCAGAGACUGACGCUGAGGCACGAAAGCGUGGGGAGCAAAUAGGAUUAGAUACCCC